Long non-coding RNA from Oncorhynchus tshawytscha (Chinook salmon), 9319 nucleotides. The record is from Ensembl. Lineage: Eukaryota; Metazoa; Chordata; Actinopteri; Salmoniformes; Salmonidae.
UGUAACCCUUCCCCACCACCCCACACCCCCAUUCCUUCAUACUACCCCUCGGUCGACCCAAACCCUUGUAACCCUUCCCCACCACCCCACACCCCCAUUCCUUCAUACUUCCCCUCUGUCGACCCAAACCCCUGUAACCCUUCCCCACCACCCCACACACCCCCAUUCCUUCAUACUACCCCUCGGUCGACCCAAACCCUUGUAACCCUUCCCCACCACCCCACACCCCCAUUCCUUCAUACUACCCCUCGGUCGACCCAAACCCCUGUAACCCUUCCCCACCACCCCACACCCCCAUUCCUUCAUACUUCCCCUCUGUCGACCCAAACCCCUGUAACCCUUCCCCACCACCCCACACCCCCAUUCCUUCAUACUACCCCUCGGUCGACCCAAACCCCUGUAACCCUUCCCCACCACCCCACACCCCCAUUCCUUCAUACUACCCAUCGGUCGACCCAAACCCCUGUAACCCCCUCCCCCACCACCCCACACCCUCCAUUCCCCACACCCCCGCCCUCCAUACCCCACCCCAUCCCAUACAGUCUCACUGUGACCUUCUAGCACACUCUGCUAGGCAGAUGGACAUUUAUGACAAUAGUUGGGACUGACUGACAAAUGGACUGCAGGAACGACAGAAAGACUGACUGAUGAAACAGACCACAAGAUGGAUGGAUAUGAACAAGUUUCAGAUUGAAACAGAGGUGAAUAUGCAGACAUGAUAAUGCAGCGAGGAACAUUGAUUUGCAGGGAGAGAUGGAAAGUUGAGGGCGACCAAAGAGUCGUAAGUGUUUAGGGUGAAAGAGAUGUGGCAGGUGAACAUGAGUUAUGGUUAUGAAAUGAGGUGGUCUCAAGAAUAAAUAUGUUGUCUAUAAGGCCCCCCCCCCCCUCCCCCCAUCCCACUAAAAUGUAUUUCAACUUAUUGUCGGGUUCUGUUGACGUUUCUGUUUAUAUUAUUCAUUAUAAACCCAAAGCUUAGCCCCAUGACAAAGAAACGUCCCAAAAAAAUUAAUAAUUGCUCACAAUAUUUGCAAUGGAACAUUUCAAAUCAGGGCUCUCAAUAUAUAUAUAUAUAUAAAAAAAUAUAUAUACAAUAUUUGUUGUCAAAGAUAUGUACAUAUAUAUUUAUAUCUAAAUAUAUAGCAAAUAUAUAACUAUUGAAUGAAGCAGAGAGAUAUGAAGUCAUCGUAAUUUUAAAAAAAUAUAUGAAAAUAUAAAAAGUGAGACAAUCGCUCAGUUGGAAGAAGCCGUCGGUUAGGAGGAAGAGGAGAAAGUGGGCUGAAGAACGGGAAACGGCUAGCACAACCAAGAAAGCUAUAGAUGGACGAAAUAGAGAGCGGGCUACGGUAUCUGAGGCCGAGUUUGGGAAUGUGAACAUUGAUGCGAACACUGCCCAUCUGCCAGGUACACAGGUAGCUACAGUGCAGGAGCACAACUACACCGAACAUGUCAUUCAGGAUGCAAAGUGUCUAAGUAGUUAAUGAUGGGUAGGACCUUAUAGCCAGUGAGGUCCGUUGCAAAACUAAUGCUGUCGAUUUAGCAUGUUGUAAUGGUCAGAAUGGCUUGUGGUCUGUGAACCCAAUGGCAGCCAGUGUGGUUACUGUGUCUAAUAACAUCAGACCUGUGGUUGAUUUGGUUUGGAGUUGCCUCUGUGGUCCACUGUGGUGGAGAAUAGACACUGCUGUAGUUUUGUGAUCGGAAUGGUUUUUGUGGUCAGUGAGGUAAAGUGUGUUCAUUGCCCUCAGCACAACCCUCUUUUUAAUUGUACCUGUGGAAAGGGUGAGGGACAUCACUGACAUGAGAGAGGAAGAUUUCAGGGAACCCCUAAUCGUUUAUAAGUACUUGUACUGGAUAGUUAGUGCGUAGCAGCUUCAGCACUGAGUCACUUAGCUGAGGCAACAUCCACUGUUGAUUUCAGCUCAGAGCCAAACCCUGGCACGCCUAACCCUGGCACAUGGGGAUUCAGGUAACUGUGGUGGGCAAUGCCAAGGCACCAACCCACCUUCUUAUUGUCUACAUCCCUAAAUCUAAGGCCAACUUAGAAGCAUGACCCUACUUCAGGUGUCACGAGAGUACAAAGGGUGGAACCAAAUGUAACCUGUAUUGCACCUUCCGAAGGUGUGUUCGUGUUGACACCCCCCCCCCCAUGACGUCUCAUGACUGAACUUAGUGAAGACCUCUGUGUUUUACCGUUGUCAUUAUGUCUCUGCACAGUAUUCCUAUUCCGGACAUACAUAUAACUGUUAUAACAGCUCAUAACUGAGAACAUUCACGCCCCCUGCCUGUUGCAGACAGUGAACAGGACAGGGAGUGUUUGCAGAGAGAAGAAUCUUUCCUUUCCCGUUGAUAUUAUUAUGGUACUGUUUUAUUUUUGCUUUGGCUUCCUUGGUUAUGCAAUUAUCUUGAAACAGUUCGAGACACACAGUGGUGCCACGUGAAGUGGCAGGCCUGUCUAGCCAAUUGAAAUCAGGGACUCCCUAUCUCCAACCAAUCACAGGAAAAACUGUGUGCAUAUUGGGCGGGGUCAGGAAUCAAACUCUCCCCAACCUACCCUAACUUUUGCCCCACCUAUUUGACUAAUCAGACCGUCAUUUACACCUGGUAAUAACAUGUGUCCUGUGAUCAGAUUUGUCUCAAAAUGUCUACUCCAGCCCAAUUUGAUCGGGUAUGACUGGAUGUGACCAAAGAUCCAUUCCCAGGACACAUGUUAAUACCAGGUCUAAAGGGGGUCUCAGAUCCCCCCUGCACCUCCUGCCACAACAGCAUCGCUACCCCACUAUUAAAGACUCUUGUACAUAGCAAAGUGUUUUGUAUAAAUACGUACUAUUUUCAACAUCUCCAGAUGAAACCAGGGCACAAUGUAAACUUUGAUUAAAGUUAUAACUUGAAACAGGAGAGGGUUAAAGAAAACUAUAGAAUUAUAGCCACACUGCUUAAAAUUAGAGUUUUGAAUGGGGCAACAAACAUAACAAUAGAGUGGACCACAUACGGCUUUCACAAUUGGUUCCUCUUUUUCCGAGAGGUUUCGUUGAGUUCAUUUUUGGGGGCCAUCGAUUGCUUUGUAUUCAUUUUUCUUUGUUGUAGUAUUUUUUAUUUUUUAUUUCUUUUGAGGAAAAACGGCAUUGCAUGCUCUGAAUAUUUUGCUGGUUAUAAAAAGGACAAUGGAGAAACAAACAGGAGAAAGGGGUGAGGGGGGGGGGGAAGCAUUCCUAAACUUUUAUGGAAAAAGUUGCUUCAAUUUGCAAUUGCUUGUUUAACUCUACUGUUUUUUUUUUCUAUGAAAACAAACAAAACCAGAAAAAGAGUACUCCAACACCUUGUGCAAUAAAGCUAUCUUUCUAUGAGUCAUGUCUUCCCUUUUCCAUCCUUUCCUUUAUGCUGGAUCAAGGGGUGUAUUUAUUUGCACAGACCGUGGCAAAAAUGUUUUGCAGUGGAAAGCGUUUUGAAACUAAAACGAGCAAGUCUUUUUGAAAACCUCACAAGAAUGAUUGAUUAUACGGUAGGAAAUAACACACACGUGAAAUUAGAGCCAUUACUUCAACACGCGGUAACAAAAAGAGAACCAAUCCAGGAUUACUGAGGGGUUUAAUGGAGUUUGUUGGAUGUAUAUGUUAUUUUACAUUUUACAAUCCAUCUAUUUGAUACGUACUGUAAUGCAUACAGUACAAUGUGCAUGCUCUCACACAGACGCUGACACACACAUGCAAACAUACUCUCGCACAUUUUAUUUAACUAGACAAGUCAGUUAAGAACAAAUUCUUAUUUACAAUGACGGCCUAGGAACAGUGGGUGAACUGCCUUUGUUUAGGGGCAGAACGACAGAAUGUUACCUUGUCAGCUCAGGGAUUCGAUCUAGCAACCUUAACCUUUCGGUUAAUGGCCCAACGCUCUUAACCACUAGGCUACCUGCCGCACAUAAAUAUCUUCACAAAUACAAACAUGUCGAUACGCAUAUAAAGGACCUAUGAUUCAUGUAUACAUAUAUUUUUAGUCACAUAGUGAAACACAGGAUGUGUGUAACAUUUUGUCACUUAAAUUAGUGAUUGAACGUCUGUGUCUGUAUAAUGUUCGACGUACAUUACAAGUCAAAAUGUCAGAGUUUAUUCCGGAAUUCCAGAGUUUAUUUUGACUAUGUUCUACAUUGUAGAAUAAUAGUGAAGACAUCAAAACUAUCAAAUAACACAUAUGGAGUCAUGUAGUAACCAAAAAAAGUGUUAAACAAAUCAAAAAUAUAUGUUUUAUUUGAGGUUCUUCAAAGUAGCCAACCCUGAUGACAGCUUUGGACACUUGGCAUUCUCUCAAUCAACUUCAUGAGGUAGUCACCUGGAAAACAUUUUAAUUAACAGGUGUGCCUUGUCAUAAGUUAAUAUGUGGAAUUUCUUUCCUCAAUGCGUUUGAGCAAUUUAAUUGUGUUGUGACAAGGUAGUGGGUGGUAUGUAGAAGAUAGCCCUAUUUGGUAACAGCUCAAAUAAGGAAAGAGAAACGACAGUCCGUCAUUACUUUAAGACAUGAAGGUCAUUUCAAGAAUUUUGCAGUCGCAAAAACCAUGACCUAUGUUUAAACUGGCUCUCAUGAGGACCGCCACAGGAAAGGAAGACCCAGAGUUACCGCUGCUACAGAGGCUACGUUCAUUAGUUACCAGACUCAGAAAUUGCCCAAAUGAGUUCAAGCAACAGACACAUCUCAACAUCAACUGUUCAGAAGAGACUGUGUGAAUCAGGCCUUCAUGGUUGAAUUGCUGCAAAGAAACCACUACUAAAGGACACCAAUACGAAGAAGAGACUUGCUUGUGACACGGGCAAUGGACAUUAGACCUGUGGAAAUCUGUCCUUUGGUCUGAUGAGUCCAAAUUAGAGACUUUUGGUUCCAACCGCCGUGUCUUUGUGAGACCCAGAGUAGGUGAACGGAUGAUCUCCGCAAGUGUGGUUCUGACCGUGAAGCAUGGAGGAGGAGGUGUGAUGGUGUGGAGGUGCUUUGCUGGUGAAACUGUCAGUGAUUUAUUUCGAAUUCAAGGCACACUUAACCAGCAUGGUUACCAUUCUGCAGCGAUACGCUUAGUGGGACGCUUAGUGGGACUGUCAUUUGUUUUUCAACAGGACUAUGACCCAACACACCUCCAGGCUGUGUAAGGGCUAUUUGACCAAGAAGGAGAGUGAUGGAGUGCUGCAUCAGAUGACAUGUUCUCCACAAUCACCUGACUUCAACCCAUUUGAGAUGGUUUGGGAUGAGUUGGACCGCAGGCUGAAGGAAAAACAGCCAACAAGUGUUCAGCAAAUGUUGGAACUCUUUCACGAUUGUUGUAAAAGAUUUCCAGGUGAAGCUGAUUGAAAGAGUGUGCAAAGCUGUCAUCAAGGCAAAUGGUGGCUACUUUGAAGAAUCUAAAAUAUGUUUUGAUUUGUUUAACACUUUUUUGGUUACUACAUGAUUCCAUAUGUGAUAUUUCAUAGUUUUGAUGUCUUCAUUAAUAUUCUACAAUGUAGAAAAUAGUAAAAAUAAAGAAAAAUACUUGAAUGAGUACAUGUGUCCAAACGUUUGACUGAUCUUUCAUAUAAAGUCAAUCUAUACUAUUUCCUUUGGUAUACAUGCUAUGAAAAAUGGCUAAUGGAGUUAGAUGACAUCUUUGGUCCUCUGCUCUUUACAUUUCAGAGGGGACUCUGUCUUGUCUGUCUGUUUGUGUAUUUGUGUCCGUCUGUCUGUCAUGCAGAGCUCCGGUGGUGCGGGUGUGGUUCUACUUGGUCUCCUUCUUCUUCUGCUGGUACUUCCUGAACUGGUUCUGAAUGGUGGCGGCAGCUUUCUCCACGGGCAGAGUGGGGCUGAGAGGCGCCGCUGCACACCCGUUGCCGCACGCGGAGUCUUUCCGAUCGCACGUCAGGAGACAGGGUACAGUCAAAGUGGCAACAGCAACAGCCAGCGUUGCAUUGGGGAAGAUGUCCGAAUUUACUGUGUGUAACAAUGUAGCAAGUACAUGAGUUGUAAGGCACGAGUGGUCUUUAGCGUUAGGGGUUAUGAAGUUAUAUGUAGCCUUUCAGCAAGCCUCUAUGUGGGUAGGUGAUUAUACUUCAUUAUUGUAGAUAUAUUGCCGUGGACUGUUCAGUGUCAUAGAUAAGACAAAUAUGAAUCCACACACUCGUACGCUGCUCCCGAAGUGUUUUAAAGAGAAAAGGAUGUCUCGACCCGUUAAUGAGGAAGACCUAGUCAAACCUUUGUCCAUUUCUCAUUCAACACCGUGGGAGCAGCAUACCAAUGUGCCAAUUAAAAAAUAUAUAUCUACAUUUUUUUUCCUCUCGGAUUCAGCACCUGGGAAGUGUUUUCUAGAUUGGCACAUUUUUAAAAAAACACUCUUUUAAACAUUAUUUGGUCUCAGACUCACUCUUUCUGAACACUCCUACGCUGUUCCUCGUCUGGCCGUCGCACUGUAAAGAAGAAUACAUUGUGAACUGCCAAAGCAGCUACAAUCAAAAGCAUUACAGAAAAAAGUUGUUAAAGGGGCAAUCUGCAGGUGAAAAUAGAACAACUGUUUUGGGUCCUGAUGGGGUACGGCAGUUGAACUAAGCUCAUGACGCAUUUAUAGGUUAUAUUCUUCCAGAAUCAAUGGUUGCAUAUAAUUUAUACGUAAAAAAAAAAAAUACAUGGAGGUAGCAACUGCAGAAUGUAUCCCUCUCACUUACACACACACAUACGCACUCACUCACACACACACACACACGCCUGGCUACUGCCGGCAUGCCUGAUUGUCCAUCUCCUGUUUGGUGGAAUGUUUGGACAUGACUGUGUCAUUCUUCACAUGCCAUUCCAAGACAUCCCAACUUGCAGACAGGCGGCUAUGUGUCCCCAUAGCUAAGGUCAUGUGGCGACUGUAAUUUUGCAGUGGGGUUUCAGUAGCCAAUUCUGGAAACGCCGGUAAUUGAUGCUUUGUGGCCUUCAGCACUACAAUAAUGGAGGCCCGAAGGCAGUGAAUACGCUGUUCGUUGUUGGAUCCAAACGUGCUGCUAAUUAGCUGUUCAUUGUGUAAUUCUAUCAUCACAAUGGCAUUGAAAAGGCUAAGUUACGCAAUUACAUCCCCCUGUCGGUAUGCUUUGGUCUCUCUGUGUCAGAUUGUCUUUGGCGCCCCCCUGUCUCAUCUGAUGAGUAUGGCAGACUAACAAAAGGUAGGCACCUCAAACAUAAUGAUUUCAUGAGAUUUUCACAACCUUAUUCUUAGCACAUGUCUAGGGACACUAUAAUGAGCACUGUUAGAUACCUCUAGACCAUAUACCACCCUUUCCCUGUACAUUUGUUUAAGUUAGUUAUAUCAGCAGAUUUGCUAUCCCUUCCACCAGAGAUCACACAGCUACAGCUGCACAUGUUCUUGACACAACUGUGGGCCUUUAGCAGAACCACACACACUACCUCUCUGAUCUCCGGUCUGGGUAAAGUCCACAGACACAAAUCCCCUCAAUAGGGAUUACAGGUACCGCCUUCUGGAGGAGGUGAAGCCUGGGACUGGCCUGUCUGUCUGUCUGUCAGCCUGCCUUUCUCUGUGGAGCUGGGGCCUACAUCAUGUCCGACAGCAACUAUUUUUAAAGUCAUUUCAGAUCAGACUUUUCAAAAUCAAAGGCUGCUCUGCCUUGUUAUUGUAACACCAGAAGUUGUUGACUGUGCCCACGUAACUUUCUUUACAGAUCCCAUUGUUCCUCGUGAAAUAGUUCUCAGAGAGGCCAUUCUAUCUUCCUCCUCUCUCUACGGGCUUUCUUGUGCACUGCUGCCAUCCCCCACAUCCUGCUCUUAAUCCCAGCCUGAGCCGUCACUGCUGCUGGAACACAUGACUACCUGCUGGCUGGAUGUUGAGGCAAGGUCCUCAGUCAACGUUAACUAAGUCAAGGACACGCAGUGGGCGAGAGCGUGACUCCUCCUCCACAGCAGUCACCUCAGCACAUCACGUUGUGUGCGACGUUAACUAAUCCAAAAUAUUAGCCAAAGAGGUGUCCGAAAUGGGUUGAAAGUCGAAGUGGUCUGUUUGAGUUGCUCACGUUAUUCCACAAACCUGCUGCCGUGACACGUCAGAGAUAUGUUACUAGGGAGGGGGGUGGUGAGAGGAUGAGGUGUUGAGGUGGUGUUAGGGGUGUGGUGCUGGAGGAUGGGAAUGUUUGAGGGACUGACCUCAGCUGCUGCGCUGCUCCUUCUUUUUUGUGACACGUGGUGCACCUGCCAGGGCAGAGGGUGGGUCACCACGAAAGGCAACGGAGGAUCACUGCGAGCAAAUAGCACUCCUAUCUGGGAUAGACAUGGAAAGGAUUACAUUUGCGUGGGUGUGUGUGUUCCUGAGCUUCCUGUUUACCUAAACGCCCGUGGAACUCUCAUGUCGUGUAUGUGUGUGUAUGUGUUUUGUGUGUGUGUGUGUGUGUGUGUGUGUGUGUGUGUGUGUGUGUGUGUGUGUGUGUGUGUGUGUGUGUGUGUGUGUGUGUGUGUGUGUGUGUGUGUGUGUGUGUGUGUGUGAAAGAGAGGGUCCUUAAACCCUGACUCUGUGUGUGAGAGGAUUAAAGCCCCUUAAAUCGGCGUGUGUGUGUGUUCAUCCAAUUACGUCAAAUCCCGAAGUGAAACUAUGAGGUCAAGUUGAGUAUUGACCCUCCGUUCACUUUCCUUUUCACGCAUACAGACCACUAAUCAGGACAACAUCCUCAAUAUUUUCAAAUUAAAAACACUCACUGUGGACAAAGCUAUCUAAGAUAUUCAUGCUCACGAUUAAAAAAAGAAAGCUAAUCAAACAGAAUUCCAUACACCCCACUGUGCAUGUUGACAGACCCCAGGCUAAUGGUAAUCCUGAUAAACUAAACUAAAUGUAGCAUCCAAAGUUAUGACAUACACGGACAACUCCUUAAUGUACUACCAUUGUGACAUUCGAUGAUGUUAUAUAGAGCUAGCCAACGCCUGUCACGUGUGCCACACAGUGGCACAAAGUCAAAUAAACAGAAGAAUAUCCACAUCGAACUCCACAAGUCGGACCAGCUGUUAAAGGCACGUGAAAUGUAUCCAUAGACCUGGUCUUACCUUUUCUACUACUCUGACUGCCAUGUACAUAGCUGUUAACAUGGUGACUAUCAUCGUGACAACUAUUCCUUGAUGCCUGGGAUAGGCCGCGGUGAUGUUGCUGAUUUCCCUUACUGUCCUCGGUCCAGCCGUGAAAGAGAGAUCCUGUACCCUCUGACAGAUCCAAAUGGUGGAGUGCGCAGUAGGAUGCUUCGUGGAAGUGGAAAACACAGAACCACACUGCUCUGUAUGCGCACACGCACACACACACACACACAAAAUCACAGGCACUCGCACAUUCUCUGCCACGGCAGCC